This 218-nucleotide ribosomal RNA is filed under the name uncultured bacterium. RNAcentral describes it as "partial 16S ribosomal RNA". It matches the Rfam family "Bacterial small subunit ribosomal RNA", at positions 559 to 776 of the family's 1533-position model. The record is from RNAcentral.
CGUAAAGCGCACGUAGGCAGAUCGGAAAGUUGGGGGUGAAAGCCCGGGGCUCAACCCCGGAACUGCCUUCAAAACUAUCGGUCUGGAGUUCGAGAGAGGUGAGUGGAAUUCCGAGUGUAGAGGUGAAAUUCGUAGAUAUUCGGAGGAACACCAGUGGCGAAGGCGGCUCACUGGCUCGAUACUGACGAUGAGGUGCGAAAGCGUGGGGAGCAAACAGG